This 445-nucleotide ribosomal RNA is filed under the name Lancefieldella parvula. RNAcentral describes it as "bacterial SSU rRNA". It matches the Rfam family "Bacterial small subunit ribosomal RNA", at positions 44 to 503 of the family's 1533-position model. The record is from RNAcentral. Lineage: Bacteria; Bacillati; Actinomycetota; Coriobacteriia; Coriobacteriales; Atopobiaceae.
GCGUCUUAACAUGCAAGUCGAACGAUUAAAGCACCUUCGGGUGUGUAUAAAGUGGCGAACGGCUGAGUAACACGUGGGCAACCUGCCCCUCUCAUUGGGAUAGCCACGGGAAACCGUGGAUAAUACCGAAUACUUCGAGACUUCCGCAUGAAAGACUCGAGAAAGCUCCGGCGGAGAGGGAUGGGCCCGCGGCCUGUUAGCUUGUUGGUGGGGUAACGGCCUACCAAGGCAAUGAUGGGUAGCUGGGUUGAGAGACCGACCAGCCAGAUUGGGACUGAGACACGGCCCAGACUCCUACGGGAGGCAGCAGUGGGGAAUCUUGCACAAUGGGCGAAAGCCUGAUGCAGCGACGCCGCGUGCGGGAUGAAGGCCUUCGGGUUGUAAACCGCUUUCAGCAGGGACGAGGCGAAAGUGACGGUACCUGCAGAAGAAGCCCGGCUAAUAC